This 466-nucleotide ribosomal RNA is filed under the name Vreelandella stevensii. Its description in RNAcentral is "partial 16S ribosomal RNA". It matches the Rfam family "Bacterial small subunit ribosomal RNA", at positions 338 to 795 of the family's 1533-position model. Lineage: Bacteria; Pseudomonadati; Pseudomonadota; Gammaproteobacteria; Oceanospirillales; Halomonadaceae. The record is from RNAcentral.
CCUACGGUGGGGCAGCAGUGGGGAAUAUUGGACAAUGGGCGAAAGCCUGAUCCAGCCAUGCCGCGUGUGUGAAGAAGGCCUUCGGGUUGUAAAGCACUUUCAGUGGGGAAGAAAGCCUUGGGGCUAAUACCCUCGAGGAAGGACAUCACCCACAGAAGAAGCACCGGCUAACUCCGUGCCAGCAGCCGCGGUAAUACGGAGGGUGCGAGCGUUAAUCGGAAUUACUGGGCGUAAAGCGCGCGUAGGCGGUCUGAUAAGCCGGUUGUGAAAGCCCCGGGCUCAACCUGGGAACGGCAUCCGGAACUGUCAGGCUAGAGUGCAGGAGAGGAAGGUAGAAUUCCCGGUGUAGCGGUGAAAUGCGUAGAGAUCGGGAGGAAUACCAGUGGCGAAGGCGGCCUUCUGGACUGACACUGACGCUGAGGUGCGAAAGCGUGGGUAGCAAACAGGAUUAGAUACCCUAGUAGUC